AUUGAACGCUGGCGGAAUGCUUUACACAUGCAAGUCGAACGGCAGCACGGGUGCUUGCACCUGGUGGCGAGUGGCGAACGGGUGAGCAAUACAUCGGAACGUACCCAGUCGUGGGGGAUAACGUAGCGAAAGUUACGCUAAUACCGCAUACGUCCUGAGGGAGAAAGCGGGGGACCGUAAGACCUCGCGCGAUUGGAGCGGCCGAUGGCGGAUUAGCUAGUUGGUGGGGUAAAGGCCUACCAAGGCGACGAUCCGUAGCGGGUCUGAGAGGACGGCCAGCCACACUGGAACUGAGACACGGUCCAGACUCCUACGGGAGGCAGCAGUGGGGAAUUUUGGACAAUGGGCGAAAGCCUGAUCCAGCCAUUCCGCGUGAGUGAAGAAGGCCUUCGGGUUGUAAAGCUCUUUCGGCAGGGAAGAAACGGCUUGGGAUAAUACCCCGGGCUAAUGACGGUACCUGAAGAAGAAGCACCGGCUAACUACGUGCCAGCAGCCGCGGUAA
Molecule: ribosomal RNA, 502 nt
Filed under: uncultured bacterium
Lineage: Bacteria
Description: partial 16S ribosomal RNA
Rfam family: Bacterial small subunit ribosomal RNA
Source: RNAcentral